Molecule: ribosomal RNA, 354 nt
Filed under: uncultured bacterium
Lineage: Bacteria
Description: bacterial SSU rRNA
Rfam family: Bacterial small subunit ribosomal RNA
Source: RNAcentral
AAUCAACGCUGGCGGCGUGCCUCAGACAUGCAAGUCGAACGCGAAAGUCCCCUUCGGGGGACGAAGUAGAGUGGCGCACGGGUGAGUAACACGUAGGUAAUCCACCUUCGGAUGGGGAAGUAACAACCGGAAACGGUUAGCUAAUACCGCAUAAUGCAGCGGCACCUAAUGGUGACAGUUGUUAAAGACGGGGGAGUCGAAAGACCUCGCGUCUGAAGAGGAGCCUGCGGCGGAUUAGCAGUUGGUAAGGUAACGGCUUACCAAGGCGACGAUCCGUAGCCGGCCUGAGAGGGCGGUCGGCCACACUGACACUGACAUACGGGUCAGACUCCUACGGGAGGCAGCAGUCGGGAA